GGCGGUCGCUGGACGCGUCCGGCUCCCCGACCAAGUCGUCGCGCGUCGGGAGCGGGCUCCUGACCGGGACGCCGCCGCUCGAGGCGCUAAACGACGUCGAAGCGGCCAUACUCCGCGACGCGCAGGCGAGACACGCCGCGUUCGGUCUCCCCGGCGUCGUGAGCGCGUUUCGAGUCGCCGCGAGGGCGCACCGCGGCGACGUCGACGACGUCGACGGUUCUGAAGCGCCGUUUCUGAAGCGCUGCGUCGAGUGCGCGUCCAUCAUCGCCCACCUCGGGAUGGACUCCAGCGCGGUCGCGGCCGCGCUGCUCUGCAACGUCCUCGACCGCACGCCGGUCAUCGCGGAAGAGCUCGCGGUAGCGCUCACGGGCCGCCCCGCGGUUAUCGACAUGGUGAAGGGCGCUUCGAGGCUCGCGCUCGUGUCGCGGAUGCGUCGCGCGUCGGCGCGCGAGCUCGACGCGGAGGAGCGCAUGCAGCUCCGCGCGAUGCUCAUCGCGGCCACGGACGCGAGGGUCGUCAUCGUGAAACUCGCGGACAGGCUCGCGACGCUGACGUCGUUGACCGCCGCGGCCGACGGCGGCGGCGUCGACGCGCUCGGCGGCGAACGCGACCGCGCGACGCGGCUGGCGGACGAGACGCUCGACGUCUUCGUCCCGCUCGCGUCUCGGCUCGGGAUAUGGACGCUCAAGGCGCGCCUCGAGGACGCGUGCUUCGCGCUGCUUCACCCCGC
This 730-nucleotide long non-coding RNA is filed under the name Micromonas pusilla. Its description in RNAcentral is "long non-coding RNA (MPUS_LNC000104)". The record is from RNAcentral. Lineage: Eukaryota; Viridiplantae; Chlorophyta; Mamiellophyceae; Mamiellales; Mamiellaceae.